Molecule: ribosomal RNA, 253 nt
Filed under: uncultured bacterium
Lineage: Bacteria
Description: partial 16S ribosomal RNA
Rfam family: Bacterial small subunit ribosomal RNA
Source: RNAcentral
UACGUAGGGGGCUAGCGUUGUCCGGAAUCAUUGGGCGUAAAGAGCGUGUAGGCGGCUCGGUAAGUCCGCUGUGAAAGUCCAGGGCUCAACCCUGGAAUGCCAGUGGAAACUGUCGAGCUAGAGUCCGGAAGAGGCGAGUGGAAUUCCUGGUGUAGCGGUGAAAUGCGCAGAUAUCAGGAGGAACACCAAUGGCGAAGGCAGCUCGCUGGGACGCGACUAACGCUGAGACGCGAAAGCGUGGGGAGCAAACAGG